RNAcentral lists this ribosomal RNA (495 nucleotides) under uncultured bacterium. RNAcentral describes it as "partial 16S ribosomal RNA". It matches the Rfam family "Bacterial small subunit ribosomal RNA", at positions 28 to 507 of the family's 1533-position model. The record is from RNAcentral.
GACGAACGCUGGCGGCGUGCCUAAUACAUGCAAGUAGAACGCUGAAGGAGGAGCUUGCUUCUCCGGAUGAGUUGCGAACGGGUGAGUAACGCGUAGGUAACCUGCCUGGUAGCGGGGGAUAACUAUUGGAAACGAUAGCUAAUACCGCAUAAGAGUAGAUGUCGCAAGACAUUUGCUUAAAAGGUGCAACUGCACCACUACCAGAUGGACCUGCGUUGUAUUAGCUAGUUGGUGAGGUAACGGCUCACCAAGGCAACGAUACAUAGCCGACCUGAGAGGGUGAUCGGCCACAUUGGGACUGAGACACGGCCCAGACUCCUACGGGAGGCAGCAGUAGGGAAUCUUCGGCAAUGGACGGAAGUCUGACCGAGCAACGCCGCGUGAGUGAAGAAGGUUUUCGGAUCGUAAAGCUCUGUUGUAAGAGAAGAACGAGUGUGAGAGUGGAAAGUUCACACUGUGACGGUAUCUUACCAGAAAGGGACGGCUAACUACGUG